Molecule: ribosomal RNA, 406 nt
Filed under: uncultured bacterium
Lineage: Bacteria
Description: partial 16S ribosomal RNA
Rfam family: Bacterial small subunit ribosomal RNA
Source: RNAcentral
AUUGAACGCUGGCGGCAGGCCUAACACAUGCAAGUCGAACGAGUGGCGGACGGGUGAGUAAUGUCGGGGAAACUGCCUGAUGGAGGGGGAUAACUACUGGAAACGGUAGCUAAUACCGCAUACCAUCAGAUGUGCCCAGAUGGGAUUAGCCAGUUGGUGGGGGAACGGAUCACCAAGGCGACGAUCCCUAGCUGGUCUGAGAGGAUGACCAGCCCCCCUGGAACUGCGCCCCGGUCCCGCCUCCUCCGGGAGUCAGCAGUGGGGAAUAUUGCACAAUGGGCGCAAGCCUGAUGCAGCCAUGCCGCGUGUAUGACGAAGGCCUUCGGGUUGUAAAGUACUUUCAGCGGGGAGGCGUUACCCGCAGAAGAAGCACCGGCUAACUCCGUGCCAGCAGCCGCGGUAAUAC